This 292-nucleotide ribosomal RNA is filed under the name Cryptosporidium sp. 200a. RNAcentral describes it as "partial 18S ribosomal RNA". It matches the Rfam family "Eukaryotic small subunit ribosomal RNA", at positions 466 to 784 of the family's 1831-position model. Lineage: Eukaryota; Apicomplexa; Conoidasida; Eucoccidiorida; Cryptosporidiidae. The record is from RNAcentral. RNAcentral also lists the same sequence under 1 other name.
AGUGACAAGAAAUAACAAUACAGGACCUUUUGGUUUUGUAAUUGGAAUGAGUUAAGUAUAAACCCCUUUACAAGUAUCAAUUGGAGGGCAAGUCUGGUGCCAGCAGCCGCGGUAAUUCCAGCUCCAAUAGCGUAUAUUAAAGUUGUUGCAGUUAAAAAGCUCGUAGUUGGAUUUCUGUUAAUAAUUUAUAUAAAAUAUUUUGAAUAUUUAUAUAACAUUAACAUAGUUCAUAUUACUAUAUUUUUUAGUAUAUGAAAUUUUACUUUGAGAAAAUUAGAGUGCUUAAAGCAGG